GAAAUGCGAUAAGUAAUGUGAAUUGCAGAAUUCAGUGAAUCAUCGAAUCUUUGAACGCACAUUGCGCUCGCCAGUAUUCUGGCGAGCAUGCCUGUUCGAGCGUCAUUUCAACCAUCAAGCUCUGCUUGCGUUGGGGAUCCGCGGCUGCCCGCGGUCCCUCAAAAACAGUGGCGGGCUCGCCAGUCACACCGAGCGUAGUAACUCUACAUCGCUAUGGUCGUGCGGCGGGUUCUUGCCGUAAAACCCCCAAUUUCUAAGGUUGACCUCGGAUCAGGUAGGAAUACCCGCUGAACUUAAGC
RNAcentral lists this unclassified non-coding RNA (299 nucleotides) under plant metagenome. RNAcentral's name for it is "partial contains 5.8S ribosomal RNA, internal transcribed spacer 2, and large subunit ribosomal RNA". The stretch from base 1 to 105 matches the Rfam family "5.8S ribosomal RNA", at positions 50 to 154 of the family's 154-position model. The record is from RNAcentral.